RNAcentral lists this non-coding RNA (53 nucleotides) under unclassified sequences. RNAcentral describes it as "Mu-gpT-DE RNA". It matches the Rfam family "Mu-gpT-DE RNA". The record is from Rfam by way of RNAcentral.
CCUUGACAGUCGCAUACUGCGGCUGACACUAGCCAAGACAAGGAGUUCCCAUG